CACACAAUCGUGAAGGGGAAAAGGAAUCAAUAAACGAAGUUGCGGUGAAUAGCGAGACACGCGAGAAUGUUUUUACCGGUUGCUUAUCUAUUAAACAUUCGAAGGGAGGGGGAAGAGAAAUGAAGUUCCCUGUAUAAGGCGUGACAGGGAACAUAAGGCGCAAUAAAACUCGACUAAUUUAUAACAGGCUCGAGAAAGGUUUUCUGGACGUUGGCUCGCUCGCCCGCUCGUCUCUGUUACAAUGCGAGACCCGGCUUAGACGGAUUCCUUCGCCUUUGACCGCUCAUAAAGAGAUACACCUGAUCAAAAGGAGCGAGUUCCAUCAGGAAUUAAUUCGAUUCUUUUGACGUGCUCUACGCGUUUCGACGUCGCUUCGAUCUCGUAACUGUACGAUACGGUAUGACGGAGGAUGAAUUAUCCUGAGAUUGAAAGAAUAUUCUUCGAAUAAGAUCCAAAAUUAAAAUAAAAAGGUUUUUUUUUUCAUUUUUGUUAAAUUUGUAUUCAUUGUAUGACUGGAUAAGUCGAUAAGUUACGAUGAGUUAUAAUCGUGCAGUUACUUGUUUUUUAGCUGCUGAAAAUCGCAGACAGUUUACGCCCCGUAUAAUUAGCGAUAAUAACAAUACGAGACAAUGGUAUAAGCCUUCGUUAAGAGCGGACAAAUAUUUAUUGACGAAGAGCGAGAAACAGAUCCGACGGAUGAUCUAACGAAGAUCGUUAAUGCGAAAAUUUGACAGAUUUCUUUUAUAGGAUUGGUAUAAAAAUAUUAAAUAUACCAUAUUUUCCACUUCAAAACAGUUUCCAUUCUCAAAUCUUAGAUGAUUCACCGAUGUAUUGUGUCGAAAUGAAGGGAACGCAGAGAGAGAGAGAGAGGAAAACAAAACAAAGAAA
Long non-coding RNA from Apis florea (little honeybee), 888 nucleotides. NCBI's taxonomy places the organism in Eukaryota, Metazoa, Arthropoda, Insecta, Hymenoptera, Apidae. The record is from RefSeq and is a predicted model, not a curated record.